This 84-nucleotide transfer RNA is filed under the name Euryarchaeota archaeon RBG_16_67_27. RNAcentral's name for it is "tRNA-Ser". Lineage: Archaea; Methanobacteriati; Methanobacteriota. The record is from RNAcentral.
GCCGAGGUCGCCUAGUCCGGUAGGGCGCCAGCUUGGAGAGCUGGUGGUCGCAAGGCCCCGGGAGUUCAAAAGGCUCCCGCCGCU